Molecule: long non-coding RNA, 11336 nt
Organism: Dermacentor silvarum
Lineage: Eukaryota; Metazoa; Arthropoda; Arachnida; Ixodida; Ixodidae
Exons: 2
Source: RefSeq, a predicted model, not a curated record
AAAAAAAAAAAGGAACCCGCGGCGGAAACUUCACCCUCUCUCAAAUCGCAAGGUCGCCGUUUCUGCAUCGCGCCGGAACAAGCGUGUACGUGCCGACUAGAGUGUACUAGACAACCGUAUUCUAGCACACACUAGUGCCGACGUCUCAGCCACGCGGAUAAAAUGGCAGUGAACCCUUCUCCUCUAUUUUCUAGUCACAUGUUGACCUUGCACGCUGCGGCAGCAGCGCAGAGGGAAGCAGCGGCGGAGGCGCAGUCGGGCCAACGAAACUGCUCACGCCCCCAAACGCUCGCUUCCCGAUAAUGGCAGAAAACGAAACUUCAGGGAGCGGCUAAAAUAAGCUGGCGCCAGCACGGCGGCGGGCGCGCACGGAGAUGUGCGCACGGAGUCGAAGGUGAGAGAGCUACGAUGGAGUUGAGAGGGAGGGCGAGGGGAGCCACCGAAGCGGCGGAGUUGACGCGGCCAAAUUCGCUUCCAUGCCGCCGCCCUCCUCCCUCACCUUCGACGGUCUCCGCGCGCACCCGUGUGCCGGCGCCGCCCGCUCCCUGAAGCUUCGUUUUCUGCCGUUAUCGGGAAGCGACCGUUAGCCGGCGUGGGCAGUUUCGUGGCCCGCGCUUGCUAUGCGCUUGCGCGCCGCGAUAUUUCACGACUCGCAUCGUUCGUGCAUCGUGCUAUGGUGCACGAAUACUUCAAAAAUACGUCCUUUUAAUUUGAACAAAUUUUCGGGCCCCUUCGAGUUCGAAUUAUCGAGAUUCGACUGUAGUUUUAAUUGUGUUUCGAUGAUACGAAUUUCGGCUAAUACGAAUAUUUUUCGUGACCCCGUGAGAUUCGUAUCAUCGAGCUUUCACUGUAUACUUACACGUUCGAAUUUCCCGCUUUUUCAGCCUCUUAACGUGUGCUGCCGUGCAGCGAUACAGGCGGGAAACACCACCAUUAGUGGGACGCGUUUCCCACCAGCAGCCCCCGCGUCGUCAGCUCACCUGUUCUUCUUACACCGUGGUCUCUGCGUCGCCGCAACCGCUGUGUUUGAUGUACAGUACUACAAUGAUCCAAUGAGCAAAUUAGAAAAGAAUGAGAUUUUGCACAACAAAACGAAAAAGAAACACAAGACAGGUAUAAAUUACUGUUCGAUAAGCUCGUUCUUAACAAAACUUUGUACUUUGUCGAUUCAUCGAGUAAUCAGGUUCGUGCCCUUCCAAGGGCUGAUAGCUCCGAUGCGGCACGCUGACCCAAACAGCAAAGCUCUGGUAGACUUUUAUCAAUCUUGGUAUCAAGCUUCAGGAGCCUAUUCCACAAACAGGACUAUUUUUGUGCUUUCCUUGAAACAUGUUCCACUGAUAUCAUUCUAGGAAUGGAGACAUGGUUAUGUAUUGAUGUGUCAGACAGCGAGCUGUUUAUGUCUAAGAACUUCACAAUAUAUUUAGAAAAGACAGAAUGGUGUCGCAAGGUGGUGGAGUGUUAAUUGCUACAACAAAAAAAUAUGGAUGCACAUGUCAUCGUAACUGACACAUGCCUAGAAAUUUUGUGGGUUGCACUUUGCCCCUCUGCAGCUGCAACUUGUGCUAUUUGGGUCGGUUACUUCCCACCAGAUUCAACCGAAAUCUUUCCAGAGAACCUAAAUGAGUCACUAAAUACCAUGCUGACGCAAUUUCAAAGGUCCCCAAUUUUUUUGGCUAGAGAUUUUAAUUAUCCCAAUAUUGACUGGCAGGCAUGUAAGGCUCUCGCUGCAGGGUGCGUACAGGUCCUUGAAAUCCUUGAAAACCCUUGAAAUUGAAAAGUGCAUUUUCAAGGCCCUUGAGAGUCCUGGAAUUUUUUUGCUUCCUUGAAAAUCCUUGAAUUUCAUGAGCAAUGCACUCUGUUAUCUACAUUGCGACCUCCUUUCUGUGGUAGAUCGGCAUCGAUCUGACAUACUCCCCAUUUCAGAAACAAUACGCCGGCACGAGCACACACGUACCAUUUUGCAGAACUACGGGGAGAAAAUCAAAGGCUUCACUGCAUCAAACUGUGAACGGAGUGAGAGAUGCGUGCCGCGCUUGAGUGCUGGCUCGGCUGGCAGUAUUUACGCUGCUUUCCUCACCCUAUCGUUCAUUUCACUCCUUGCCUGUCGGUCUGCCUUUUCCCACUUUCCCUCUUGCACGUGAGGUGAAGCUAAAGAGAGCUUUAGUGGAGCAACUUUACCACUGAUGCUCAGUGCCUUUGUGCCUUCGGGUGGAGGUUUGUUAUAAUAUUAUUUAUGAUAAUAUAAGUGCAAUAACCUUAUGCUGAAUGUUUUGGAAAUGUUUGAUGAACCAACCCAGCUAAUACUGCAGAAGCCUGAGAGCUGUUGUGAGUGUUUGUUGUCUUAAAUUUAAUACUGCGGACUUGAGAAAUGCUCAAGACAUGUGUUACAAAUUGCAAUAUACUGUACAUCUAUUUCAAUAAUAUAAUGGAUGUGUAGGAAGACUACACUGGAUGGUUUGGAAAUGUUCGGUAAACUUGCCCAGUUAAUACUGGAGAAGUCAGAGUAGCUGUUGGGAGCAUUCUUUGUGUUUUGUAAACUUUUUUUUUCUUCGGCAUUGUUGUGAACUUGCAAAGUGAUCAAGGCUACACAAUACUAACAUCAUUGGGAUAUACAUUUAUUUCUUUUUGUUUUAGUGCUGAAUGUUUUGAAUAUUUUUGGUGCACUUUACCCAGGGCCUAUACUGGAGAAAUCUCAGCCGCUGUUGUAAGCAUUCAUUUUGUGUUGUGAUCUUGAGAAGGUAUCAAGGCUAUACAUUUUAUUAUAAUUGUGAUAUACAUUUAUUUAUUGUAAGUGCAAUAAAACUAGUCAUUUUUGGAAAUGUUAGAGUAAAGAAAUCCUACUUUGGAUGCUGCUUUGAGUCAUUGAAAAUGCUGUGGCAGGUCCUGGAAAGUCCUGGAAUAUCCUUGAAUUUUUGCCUUCAAAACCUGUACGAACCCUGUCGGUGGCACAAGAAAAGAAGUGUAAAAAAUUUAUUGAUGUGCUUUCUUUGUUUGACUUAAGCCAAAUGGUUUCUGUACCCACACGUGGCGAAUCGAUUUUGGAUUUCGUCCUCACUACUGAUGUUUGUCAAUGUGUUAGAAGGCAUUAGCGAUCACAAAAUUCUGCACUGUGAGUUCCAAAUAUUGAGAGAAAAGUCACGUAACACAAAGACAACUAUACUUGACUACAGGCGAGCAGAUAUUAACGCGAUAUCAAGUCUACUCGCUUCCUUUUUUAUUGAUUUCUUAAGCUUUCUUAAUGACCGUGAUGCAAAUGAAAACUGGACGCUUAUCUGUGACAAACUUAUCUCACUAAGAGAAAAGUACAUACCUCAAAUCAGUAUAGCCGCAUCAACACAAAGCACAUGGUUCACGACUCACGUAAAACGUUGCAUAAAUAAAAAGAAAUGAUUAUACUCGCGAGCAGUUCAGAACUGAUGGCGUCUGAGGAUGAUUGAUUGGAAGCGUUACCGUGAACAUGCGCAGUUAUGUAAAGGUAAAAUCGAAGCAGCAAAAGACAAAUUUUAAAACAACAAUAUCUGAAACAUGAUAAAAACAAUAGCAAAAAGUUUUGGAAAGUUGCCAAUCCAAAUUGUGGUUCGAAAUCCCAAAUAUCAAUAGCCAAAGACGGAAAACUCCUUUCCUCAUCAGAAGCCGCAUUAGAAUUCAGUAAUUUCUUUAGCUCUGUCUUUACUGAUGAAAUUCCAUUGUCAUCUACUCUACAUGUUAUUUUAACUUCUCAUAUGCAAGAUAUAUAUAUCACUCCCAAAGGCAUCACAACAGCCAUUGAUCGCCUUACUGUGAAUUCUGCACCAUUGGGCCUGACGACAUAUGCCCUAAGCUACUUAAGAUAGUGUUGUGUCGUUAGUUUUGGUUUCGGUAUCCCGUCAGGAAACCCUGUGAACGUCUGUGGUGCUGUUGUUCCUGUGUAUAUAAUUGGGUGUCAAAAUAAAUGGAGAUAAUUCGUUGGGUUAUGGCUGGUUGGCUUUCCUCUUCGUAGGCCGCGACACCACAUUGGCAACGAGGGUUCUAGAUUGUUCUAAUUUUUUUUCUGAGGGCGUUGCCCCGCUGGCCACGUCACGAGUUUCUCCGGCCUCGCUCCACCGCCACCGUUUCUGCCUGCGCAGGGCCGCCCGUUGGUUCUGUGGCUGCAAUGGUUUCACAUUUUGGGGACCUUUCUUUUGGCAUCCGGAGCAGCUGACUUCCCGUCCAAACGACGCAGAGACCUUCUGUUACACAGCCUGGGAAUUGAAGUUGAGUUUAUUUUCUUCGCUCUGGGGCCAUCCCACGUCUCCGAAGCCGCCCCGCCGGCUUCCACCGCGAACGAUUGCGAUGAGGCCAAAAAGUCGCCCACUGCCGCAUCAUCAUACGACCAAGCCAUCGCUGCGUUAAUGCAGCAUUUUGCCUCGGCAAGCAAUGUCGUCAUGGAACGCCAUCGCUUCCGCCGCCAUACCCAGCAACCAGGCGAGUCCAUACAAGAGUACGUCAGCGCUUUACGAGAGCUUGCUGCUUCGUGUUCUUUCGUCGCCCUUGACGACUCCCUCCGCAACCAGUUCUCGGAAGCCAUGACGUCACAACACGAUCGUGAACGACAGAAGGUUCGUCACUCCCCUUUUCGCGCGCCGUGCUUCUGGCACAGAAACUGGCUGCUCAGCAAGUUCGCGAGCUUGCUCCAGGUAACUUCAUGAGGUGUUCAGGGGAUACAGUGUCUCCCCGUCGGCCUGCUUACCCUGAGCACUCCCGCGACUCGAAUAAGGCAUCACCGCACUGUUUUUGUUGCGUUUCCCGCCAACACCGCGCCUCGUCAUCCUCCUGUCCAGCACAAGGUCAGCGCUGCUUUCACUGCAGUCGCCUUCGGCACUUCCACUCAGUCUGUAACAAGCGACAGCGUCAUUCUACUGUUGCCGUCCAUUAAGUUGACUGCUAUAACUCGUCCGAUGAUGCUGAAAGUUUAUGCGUUCUUACCAUGGUCAGUCCUGCUCGAGCCGGCAUUUUCGUUGACGUUUUCAUCACCAGCAAGUCCUUGAGGUUUCUUGUCGACUCUUGGUCAUCUGUUUGGUCGACUCUUGGUCGUCUGCUGGAAAAGAGAACCUUUUUCAGCAGUAUUUUGUUGACGAGUCACUUCUUUCUACUCCACGAGUGAAGCUUCUCGAUUACUCAAAGCGUUCCAUUCCCUUACGUGGUUGCUUGUUCGUGGAAGUCACGUUCAAGAGACGCACGGCGUACCUCCUGUUCUACGUUGUGCCGAAAGGCACAUCUAUCCUCGGAAUUGAUGUGAUCAAGGCUUAGGACUUGAACAUUGAAGGGUCGUCUCUGCAUUGCUUCGAGAGAUCGGCCAUGCCAGCGACAUCCGAUGCGGCUUAGCUCUCAGGCCCGCACCAAGUUUUACCACCCAACCAUCUUCUGAAGACCCUGUCUAGCAAAUUCGGCUCCAUCUUCGCCCCAGGCCUUGGUCUCGUUAAGGGUUUCGUCUAUCGGAUCGACUUGCAGUGCCUCCUGUGGCAUCGAAACUUCGGCGCCUCCCGCUGACACUCUGACCUCAAGUUUCAGAAGAGCUCUGUCGGUUGGAAGAACUGGAUGUCAUCGAGCGCAUUAAUGCCUCCGAAUGGGUGUCCCCCAUCGUUGUGGUAAAGAAAAAGGACGGUGGCAUUCGACUCUGUGUUGACCUCAGGGGACCUAUCAAAGCAGUCAUCGCCGACAGCUGGAGAAGGAAGGUGUCAUCCGUCGACAAGCCCACGCCAUGAUGGGCAGCCCUGGUAGUGGUCCCAAAAGCAACGGUAGGAUACCGCCUAUGUGUCGACCUGACCAAGCUCAACAAGGUGGUCGUGUGGGAGAAGCACCACAUGCCUACCGUUGACCAGGUGCUCUGACUGCUGGGGUCUGCAACAGUCUUCUCCAAGCGAGAUGUCAGGGCAGGGUUUCAUCAAGUACCUCCGAUAGCUCGCAAGAAUACACACUCAUUAGCCCCCUUUGGUCACCAUUGUUACUGCCGUUUGCCCCUUUUGGAAUCGCAUUGGCGCGAAAGGCUUUCAAGUGCUGAAUGUCAAGAAUUCUGGAAGGUCUCGAAGGCUGUGUGAAUAUGGUGGAUGACAUUCUUGUGUUUGGCAGGGAUUGCUUCAAGCACGACAGCUGUCUUCAAACCGUCCUCCAGAGAUAGCAGGAGGCCAGAGUUACCUUGAAUGCCUCGAAGUGUUACUUUGGCAUACCUCACUCAAGUUCCUCAGCAGCUCCAGUGGCAUUGCACCUGAUCCAGACAAGGUCACUGCUAUCACAAGCAUGCAGCCACUAAUAGACUUGGCAGGUGCAAGGCAUUUCUUGGGAAUGCUCAACUACGUUGGACUCUUUCUGCAAAAUUUGUCUGCUGCCACAGCACCUCUCAGACUGCUUUUGAACCAAGACACUGUCUGGACAUGGGAUACUUCUCAAGCAACGCCCUUCAACUACUUCAAGAGAAUGGUUGCCUGAAGCUCAUGCAUGGCUCGGUACAACCCAGAAUUUCCAGCACAGUGUGUACCGAUGACAGCUUCCAUGUACUGGGCUUGUUCCUUCAGGAUCAGCUAAUUGGUGAAAGUCGAGCAGUAGCCUUCGCAUCAUGAGCCUUGACUUCUGCUGAACAACGGUACAGCCAAAUUGAAAAGAAGGCAUUGCCCGUCUCAUGUGCAGUCGAGAGGUACAUUGAGUUCUUGCGGGGCUUCAGCCUUGUUGUAUAAACCAGCCAAUUGUCGAGUUGCUGGAAUCAGCGGACCUGGACCUCAAUGCCCCCUCAAGUGCAGCGGUUUCGCGUCAGGCUCUUGCGCUACCAGUUCAUGGGGUCAAGUAUGUCCCAGGCAGACUCCUAGCCAUUACCGACACUCUGUCAAUAGAUCCUGAACGAUCUAUCUCUCCGUCCUCUGGGGAUAGCAUCGAGCCCUUUGUGUUGCAAGUUCCGAAGGCUCUUCCUUCAACUUUGGCGGUGCGCUUUAAUGUUUUCAGAGCUCAUCGGGAAUUGGAUGGGGUAAAGAACUUUUGCUCCAAAGGUUGGUCUAGAUGUGACCGGUUACCAUUAAACAUGACUUGCUACAGUAUAGACCACUUAUAACGUAACCGCUUAUAGUGCAGGACCGGAUAUAGUGCAGUCUUUUCAGACUCCCGUUAAUGUUCCCAUAGCACUCUAUGUAUGCACGUAUCGCUUAUAGUGCAGUUGCGGGAAACGAAAUACCGGUUACAGUGCGGCUGCCUGGGAGUACGGAAGUCAGCGGAGACGGCGAACGCUCCCCUCAAACGGGCGCCCCACGGAGUGCUCGAGGAAGAAAGACAGACGAAGCGGAGGAGAAGGGCACGUGGUGCGAACGAACAGCCAUUGAGGCUGAAACCGUCUUGAGUGCGAGUCGUGAAAUAUCAUAGUGCGCAUAGCGAGCGAGGGCCACAAAACUGCCAAGGCCCGCCAACGCUUGCUUCCCGAUAACGGCAGUAAACGAAACUUCAGGGAGCGGGCGGCGCCGGCACAGCACAGGGAAGGGCGCACGCAGAGACCGUGGAAUGUGAGGGAGGAGGGCGGCAGGGAAGUGGAUUUCGCCUCGUCAACUCCGCCGCUUCGGUGGCUCCCCUUGCCCUCCCUUGUACCUCCCUCACUUUCGACUGUCACCAUGCGCGCCCGCCUCCGUGCAGGCGCCGCCGCUACAGCCUGCCCGGCGCCAGCUCCCCGAAGUUUCGUUUUCUGCCGUUAUCGGGAAGCGGGCGUUGGCCGGCCUGGGACAGCACCGCUGCUUCCCUCUGCGCCGUAGCCGCAGCAUGCAAGGUCAGCACGUGACUAGAAAGUAGAGGAAGCAUGAAGGAGAAAGAAGGGUUCACUGCCAUUUUCUACGCGUGGCUACGAUAGCGUGGCUGAGACGUCGGUACGUACACGCAUGUUCCGGCGCAACGCAGAAUCGGCGACCUUGCCAUUUGAGAGAGGGUGAAAUUUCCGCCGUGCUUUUUUUUGCUUUCUUUCUUUCUUUUUUUGUUUUGUUCGCGCGCGACAUUGAGGGGUCUCUCCUAAGCUUUUACUCUAUGGCGGUGCCGGCGCAAUGCCGGUCGGAGGCGCCGCCGCGUGAUUUGGUUCGAAUUAACGAGAUUCGACUGUAAAUUGAAUGCAAACGGUCUAGCCGCAUUCCUCGACUGUCGCAUACGCGUGGCGGCUCGGUGCACAUGUUUUGCAUAUGUGUGGGCCUUGAAAAUUGUUACUUUGGUUAUAGUGCGGAUAUUCGCGACUCUGGGGACUUACACUAUAAGGGGUCUACACUGUAUUGGGAACACCGGGGCAAGUUCUUCAUCUGCGAUUGUCUUCUACUCAUGGGAGAACACCUUGUGGCUCUGCUGCGCCAAGACAUGGUGAAUCUGCUCCAUGUAGGUCAUCUAGGCAAUAACCGGUGUUCGGCAUUGGCCAGAGAGUCUGUGUGGUGGGCUGGUCUCGGCAGCCAAAUGAAAACUUGAGUGGCAAACUGUGGUGUGUGCUACUACAAGGAUCCAAUGUGUUAAACCGAUGAUGCCGACAGAAACUCCUGCUGUACUUCGAAGCGAGCGGCCGCAUGCCUGUUUCAUUUCGACGGCCAAGAGUUCCUGCUACUAGUGCUUGACUGCCGUUCUCGUUACCCGGAAGUCAUCACCCUCCGGUCCACGUCUGCCAAAGCCAUAAUGUCUUUGCCAGACACGGCAUUCCCGAUACUACUCGUAGUGACAACGAUCUUCCUGCAAAGCCUUUCAAGGCUUUGCCAAGAGCUUUGGGCUAUGCUACAAACAGUCCUCGCUGUCCCCUGUCGAAUGGUGAAGUAGAGCGAAUGGUCUGCAGAAUCAAGGACUUGCUCUGGAAAACCAAAGACCUGUUUCUGUCCUUGCUGGCUUACCGAAACGUCCCUGGAAAGUCUGGCUACAGUCUUGCUCAACUUCUCAUGGGUCACUCACUUCAAACCCGUGUUCCAGUUCCCUGGACAAAGUUAGCUCCAGACUGGCUGCACAUUGCAAACUUCAAAGUCAGGGACACCGCGAAAAUGCAUUAUCAGUCACUGGAUUUCAACAGAUGCCACGCUGCUUAUGAUCUUCGCACCCUUGAAAAAAGUGUGGUUUCUAGAUGCCAGGACAAGAGCCACUGACAGUCCAGUAGCUUCAGUCCAGCUCAGAGGCGACGCUCAUAAGUCGUGAAGACGCCUGUGGGAGUUCUGGUGAGAAAUUCCCCCCGUGCACCAGCAACAGACGUCAGCUGGACCGGCCAGUGCGAACGCCAAUGACAGCCCAGCACCUCAGACUGGGCAGUAGUCGCACGACUGUGAUGACAGUGGCAACCCACCAGCUAGACCAGGUGCCUUCGGGGUCAAAGAGGGCACCAGCUAGACCAGGUGCCCUCAUUUUCAAAGUGAUCUGCUAUGUGGGCAAAGUUUGCGAUCGCGCGGGCCUCAUCUUUAAAGCGAUCUGAGAUGUGGGCAAAGUACACGUCUGCGCGGGCCUCAUCUUCAAAGCGAUCUGCGAUGUGGGCAAGGUAUAGGCAUGCGCCCGUAGGGGCCUCGUCUUUGAAGCGAUCUGCGAUGUGGGCAAAGUACAAGCACGCGCCCGUAGGGGCCUUGUCUUCAAAACGAUCUGCGAUGUGGGCAAAUUCAAGCACGCGCCCGUAGGGGCCUUGUCUUCAAAACGAUCUGCGAUGUGGGCAAAGUACAGGCACGUGCCCCUAGGGGCCUCGUCUUUAAAGCGAUCUGCGAUGUGGGCAAAGUACAAGCACGCGCCCGUAGGGGCCUUGUCUUCAAAACGAUCUGCGAUGUGGGCAAAGUACAGGCACGUGCCCGUAGGGGCCUCGUCCUUAAAGCGAUCUGCGAUGUGGGCAAAGUACAAGCACGCGCCCGUAGGGGCCUUGUCUUCAAAACGAUCUGCGAUGUGGGCAAAGUACAGGCACGUGCCCGUAGGGGCCUCGUCCUUAAAGCGAUCUGCAAUGUGGGCAAAGUACAAGCACGCGCCCGUAGGGGCCUUGUCUUCAAAACGAUCUGCGAUGUGGGCAAAGUACAGGCACGUUCCCGUAGGGGCCUCGUCCUUAAAGCGAUCUGCGAUGUGGGCAAAGUACAAGCACGCGCCCGUAGGGGCCUUGUCUUCAAAACGAUCUGCGAUGUGGGCAAAGUACAGGCACGUGCCCGUAGGGGCCUCGUCCUUAAAGCGAUCUGCAAUGUGGGCAAAGUACAAGCACGCGCCCGUAGGGGCCUUAUCUUCAAAACGAUCUGCGAUGUGGGCAAAGUACAGGCACGUGCCCCUAGGGGCCUCGUCUUUAAAGCGAUCUGCGAUGUGGGCAAAGUACAAGCACGCGCCCGUAGGGGCCUUGUCUUCAAAACGAUCUGCGAUGUGGGCAAAGUACAGGCACGUGCCCGUAGGGGCCUCGUCCUUAAAGCGAUCUGCAAUGUGGGCAAAGUACAGGCACGCCGCGUGCCCAUAGGGGCCUCGUCUUCAAAACGAUCUGCGAUGUGGGCAAAAUAUGUGCCCGUGCGGGUCUCAUCUUCAAAGCGAUCUGCAAUGUGGGCAAAGUGCGCGCAGUGCCAGUAGCUGCGUAUGCGCUGUGCUUUCGACAUUUAGCUCGCGUUGAAGCGAGGCAGCAUGAAGGUCAAUUGGCUCGCUGCUGCUGCCGCGCUUCCUCACUCCAGCGUUUCUACAGCAACUUUCUGCAGUGAUCGACCGAGAUGUGUUCCUGUUUACCUGUGCCCACGUGACACCGUGCUUGUUAAUUUAGUUAGUAAGAGUAUGUUUACUACUUUAUACAGCCGAUAAAACUGCUAUCCUUACUUCGUAUAGCUGUCUACUAAUUUGCGAUCGCAAUCGAUGCUUUGCCUUUCAGGCGAAACUGCAGCUUUUUGUUUCUUUUUUUACUUUGGACGUUCGUCACUCACUCUUUGCAAUAACGUUGUUAGACAUAGCGACCAAAUUUUCAGAAGUGAGGUGUUUCAGAUAUUACGGACUUCGGAUAAAACGGACAUUUUUGGUUGGUUUAUCGGGGUCUGUUGUAACGAGAGUCGACUGUACCUGUUUCGGACAGUUAGUUAAAACACCCCUCAGACUGGACUUGUGACAUGUUGUUCAAUAUGUACGGAUUAUGUUUUCUUUCUCUUGACCAGGCGUUCUUGUUUAGAUUGUUUUGCUGUGCAAACCAAUAUGGUGGUUCUCUUCUCUGUCCUUUUUUCCUACAUUUGGCACGCUACCCAAUACCGCCGUUAUCAAUAUGGUGGGCUUUGCAUUGUUACAAACACAUGGUGCUGAAAAGGGGGAUGUAGAGGAUGUGAAAGACAUGCCCCAAGUGACUAGAUGGUGGCACACUCCAAAUGUAUAUAUUGCAUGGUGAAAAUAAAGUCGGGGUUCUUCGAGUCGCAGUAACA